Molecule: ribosomal RNA, 253 nt
Filed under: uncultured bacterium
Lineage: Bacteria
Description: partial 16S ribosomal RNA
Rfam family: Bacterial small subunit ribosomal RNA
Source: RNAcentral
UACGGAGGGUGCUAGCGUUGUUCGGAAUUACUGGGCGUAAAGCGCACGUAGGCGGCUUUGUAAGUUAGAGGUGAAAGCCCGGGGCUCAACCCCGGAAUAGCCUUUAAGACUGCAUCGCUUGAAUCCGGGAGAGGUGAGUGGAAUUCCGAGUGUAGAGGUGAAAUUCGUAGAUAUUCGGAAGAACACCAGUGGCGAAGGCGGCUCACUGGACCGGUAUUGACGCUGAGGUGCGAAAGCGUGGGGAGCAAACAGG